CUCACAACAACUAAUUCCACAUAAUUAACUCAAUCACAUCGAAAAUCAAUUUCCACAAAAGAAAUUCUCAUUCAACAUCCACAUUAAUAAAAACAAAAGUCGCAAAUUUUUCGGGGUGCUACAUGUAGUCUAGUACUGAACUCAUUUAUGAAUUCUCGUCCCUUGUUGCAAGUGCACUCAGGAGAUGGCACUUUGUGGCUGUUUUCCUUGACCAUAGCAGGUCUAACGCACGUGGUACAGUCUGCUAUCUGCAGCGUUGCAGUGCAGCAGUUGGAGGGGAGGAAUUUGUUGGCUGAUCUUGCCCUUCUCGGCCCAGCUCUUCCUCACUUUUACAAGAGGGCUAAGGCUAUGGUGCCGAGGCUGUCUUCCCUCGUGGUCUCGCCCUCUCGGCUCGUCUGACAUUCUGGGGCCGAGACGGCUCGCGUUAAAGGCCGAGGAAGUUCACUAGGAACUCUCGGUUGUAAAAGAAUAGCUCGACUAAGAUUUCUCUUCUUUUCUGUAUCUUAACAUGUAUGCAAACUCUAAAAUCGUUGGUGUUUAUUUAAUUUCAAGCAUUUGUAAAUUGUUAGCUUUGAAGUUUCUGGAAAUUUGUAUUUAUACUCUUAUUCAAGAAAUAAAAAUACCCAUUCAUUCUUUA
Molecule: long non-coding RNA, 637 nt
Organism: Salvia splendens (bonfire salvia)
Lineage: Eukaryota; Viridiplantae; Streptophyta; Magnoliopsida; Lamiales; Lamiaceae
Exons: 2
Source: RefSeq, a predicted model, not a curated record